RNA transcript from Brassica rapa (field mustard), 2691 nucleotides. It is a transcript of the gene named cysteine-rich receptor-like protein kinase 10, with no coding region annotated. Lineage: Eukaryota; Viridiplantae; Streptophyta; Magnoliopsida; Brassicales; Brassicaceae. The record is from RefSeq and is a predicted model, not a curated record.
UUUAAAUCAUAAAAAUUUUGAAAUUCAAAUUUUGAAAUUUUGAAAUUUUGAAAUUUUAAAAUUUUGAAAUUUUCAAAUUUUCAAAAUUUUCCAAAUUUUGGAUACUACAUUAUACUGUAUAGUUUUACUUAGUUGUACUGGGUUAUACUUCGUUCUACUGGGUAGUAUUGAUGUUAAGUUAUACUGAGUUAUACUGAGUACUACUGAAUGUAUAUACCGAAUUAUACCAGCUUAUAAUUAGUUAUACUAAGUACUACCGAGUGUAGUUAUACCGAGUUAUACCAAUUGUACUGAGUACUACUAAGUAUUACUAGUACUACUCUAAGUUAGUUAUACCGAGUUCGACUAAGUUCUACUGCAUAAUACUAAGUACUACUGAGUUAGUUAUACCAAAUUUGACUGAGUUAGUAAUACCGAGUUAUACUGGAUCCAGAUCUGAAGAAAAUAAAUAAAAAACACAAAACAUACUUUGCAAAGGGGAACAAGAGCAAUAAAAUCCCAAAAUCAUAUAAAACCCAGAUCUAUAGAGAACAAGAAGAACCCUUAUCAUACAAAAUCCAGAAUCUUAAUUUACAACCAUAAAUCGAAAAGAAAAAAAACUCAGAAUCUCUCAUCAAAUCAGGUUGAGCCGCCACCGUUCUUGAUAUCUUAUGCUCGGUAUCUAUGGAAAAGUGAAGGUUUUGUUCGGUAUCCAUGGUGGACGACAGGUUAUGAAGAAAGAAGAAGGAAGAGAAGUGAUUUUCACAGAGAAGAACAAGAAAAUCGCAGAGAAAAAAACUGAAAAAACGAAAAAAAAGAGGAGAGAAGCAAAUGAAAAGAAAAACUAUAGGCCGCUUCUUUUUAUUAGAUUAUGUUAUAAAAUAAAAGAGGCAAAACAGUAAAUAUUUUAAUUUUGACACUAAAAAUAAAUAAAUUUAUUUAAAAAAAUAAACUGGGUCCUUGGAAGAUUGAGUUAUUAGACUUGGGAGCACGAGAGGAGUUGCCUCGAAAUUGUCCCAAGAAUAAAAGCAAAAAAAAAAAGAAACAAAAAGUUGGGAUAAAAACAAGUUUGUUAUCUAGAAUCAAAAUAAAUCCAUAUAAAUGGAGCUCCAUGAUGUGAGAAACCCAAAUAGUAGAAGUCGAACGAUGUCUUUUCCCACUUCUUUCUUUUUUGUUUUCCUUUUUUCCUUCCUCUCUAGCUUUAGAGCUUCUGCUCAGAGUCCUUCCCUCUUAUACUUUUUUUGUCCGAAUACAACAACGUACUCAAGGAACAGCACUUACUAUAACAAUCUCGUAACUCUUUUGUCUUUCCUCUCUUCCAGCAACGCUUCACACUCCACCGGAUUCCAAAACUCCACAGCGGGUCAAGACCCAGCCAGAGUCACCGGACUUUUCCUUUGCCUCGGAGACGUCUCCGGAGAAGUUUGCCGUAACUGCGUUACCUUUGCCGUCAACGAAUCCUUAAGGCAGUGUCCAACUCAGAGAGAUGUCGUACUCUAUUACGAUAACUGUAUGCUCAGAUACUCUGACCACAAUAUUCUCUCGAACCUAAGAACCGAUGGAGGAUAUCCCUUGUCCAGCGUUAUUACUAUUCCACCUGACCAACAACGGAGCUUCCGAGAUUUGGUUUUAGCCCUGAUGAAACAAGCCGCAACAGAUGCCGCUACUAGUUUCAAAAAACUGGGUGCGAGACGAACCAACUUUACUGAGGUUCAGAGUGUAUAUGGACUUGUUCAGUGCACCCCCGAUCUGUCAACACAAGACUGUUCGCGGUGUUUGGAAACGUCCAUCAAUCAACUACACACUGACAAGACUGGGUCGAGACUUCUUUUACCGAGCUGUAAUUCAAGAUACGAGUUGUACCCAUUUUUCAACGAAUCCAUCGCUAGCACAUUUCAAGCACCACUAUCGCCGCCUGUUUCUACUCCUCCCCGGCCAGACGCAGGAAAAGAUGAGAGGUCAUCUGUGUUAGUGGUAGCCAUUGUUGUGCCUACUAUAGUGAUUGUUCUGCUUUUAAUAGCUGGUUAUUGUUUCCUUGCAAAGAGGGCAAAGAGGACUAAUGAGACAGAACUCACAUUUAAUAAUGCGGAUGAUAUAACAACCAUUGAUUCGCUGCAACUUGAUUAUAGAACAAUUCAAGCUGCAACAAAUGACUAUUCAGAAGAUAAUAAGAUUGGUCGAGGUGGAUUCGGCGAGGUCUACAAGGGUAUAUUUUCGAAUGGGACUGAAGUUGCUGUGAAGAGACUGUCAAAAUCAUCAGAACAAGGUGACACAGAGUUCAAGAACGAGGUUGUUCUUGUUGCAAAGCUUCAACACAGAAAUCUGGUCAGGCUUCUCGGAUUUUCUUUAGAACGAGAAGAAAGGAUAUUGGUCUACGAACCCUGUAAAGCGAGGGCAGUUGGACUGGACUCGGCGAUACAAUAUCAUUGGAGGAAUUGCUCGGGGGGUUCUGUAUCUCCAUCAAGAUUCAAGGCUUACAAUCAUACAUCGUGACCUAAAAGCAAGUAAUGUUCUCUUGGAUGAGAAUAUGAAUCCGAAAAUUGCAGAUUUUGGAAUGGCUAGGAUCUUCGGGUUGGACCAAACCCAAGAAAAUACAAGUAGAAUAGUGGGUACCUAUGGUUACAUGUCUCCGGAAUAUGCGAUGCGUGGUCAGUUCUCAAUGAAGUCUGAUGUCUAUAGCUUUGGAGUGUUAGUACUUGAGAUUAUAAGCGG